UAUGGGCGCUAGCCUGAACCANCCAGUAGCGUGAAGGAUGAAGGCUCUAUGGGUCGUAAACUUCUUUUAUAUAAGAAUAAAGUGCAGUAUGUAUACUGUUUUGUAUGUAUUAUAUGAAUAAGGAUCGGCUAACUCCGUGCCAGCAGCCGCGGUAAUACNGAGGAUCCNAGCGUUAUCCGGAUUUAUUGGGUUUAAAGGGAGCGUAGGCCGGAGAUUAAGCGUGUUGUGAAAUGUAGAUGCUCAACAUCUGCACUGCAGCGCGAACUGGUUUCCUUGAGUACNCACAAAGUGGGCGGAAUUCGUGGUGUAGCGGUGAAAUGCUUAGAUAUCACGAAGAACUCCGAUUGCGAAGGCAGCCUGCUAAGCUGCAACUGACAUUGAGGCUCGAAAGUGUGGGUAUCAAACAGGAUUAGAUACCCUGGUAGUCCAAGGGCGAAUUC
RNAcentral lists this ribosomal RNA (440 nucleotides) under uncultured bacterium. Its description in RNAcentral is "SSU rRNA". It matches the Rfam family "Bacterial small subunit ribosomal RNA", at positions 370 to 808 of the family's 1533-position model. The record is from RNAcentral.